This is a non-coding RNA of Danio rerio (zebrafish), 115 nucleotides long. Lineage: Eukaryota; Metazoa; Chordata; Actinopteri; Cypriniformes; Danionidae. The record is from Rfam.
GCCAGCAGCUAGCUCUCUGCAACACUUACAUGCCUGCCCACUGAAGCUAAGCAGAGCUGCGCCCAGUCGGUACCAGGAUGGGAGACCACAUGGAAAAGCUAGGCUUUUGCCGGAA